GGAAGAGGCUCUUGUUUUUCCGUAAAAGCAAAAGUCGCCACUUGAAGAAAAUGGCAAGGCAACAACGAUCGUCACCACUUCCACUAUUGGGAGGAGGCUUAUCACCGCCACCACCAUUGAUUGAUGGUGAUAGGAAUGACAAUAAUGCUAAUAGUUUGAGUGUGGGAAUGGUGGGGAAAGGAAAGAAGAAGGUUGGAGCUGUGAAGCUGUGGAUGAGGUUUGAUAAGUUUGGGAAUUCAGAGAUAACGGAAUGUGACAAAAGCACCAUAAUUAAGCGUGCGGCAAUCCCCUCGAGGGAUUUGAGGAUGCUCAGUUCUGUCUUCUCUCAAUCCUCCAAUAUUCUUGCCAGGGAAAAGGCCAUGGUUAUCCAGUUGGAGUUUAUCAGGGCUAUAGUUACUGCUGAUGAAGUCUUGAUUUUGGAUCCUCUCCGUCAAGAAGUUCUUCCAUUUGUUGAACGGCUAAGGCAACAACUUCCUCAUAAAAGCCUAACGAACAUCCAGGGAGCUGACCAUACAGAUGUGAAAAGUAAUGAAAUGCAUGUUUCAACUAGUGGAAAAUGGUUGCCAGUUCCAGAAGCUGUU
RNAcentral lists this unclassified non-coding RNA (581 nucleotides) under Hevea brasiliensis (rubber tree). Lineage: Eukaryota; Viridiplantae; Streptophyta; Magnoliopsida; Malpighiales; Euphorbiaceae. The record is from RNAcentral.